UACGUAGGGACCAAGCGUUGUUCGGAUUUACUGGGCGUAAAGGGCGCGUAGGCGGCAUAUUAAGUCAGCUGUGAAAUCUCCGAGCUUAACUCGGAACGGUCAGCUGAUACUGAUGUGCUAGAGUGCAGAAGGGGCAAUCGGAAUUCUUGGUGUAGCGGUGAAAUGCGUAGAUAUCAAGAGGAACACCUGAGGUGAAGACGGGUUGCUGGGCUGACACUGACGCUGAGGCGCGAAAGCCAGGGGAGCAAAC
This 250-nucleotide ribosomal RNA is filed under the name uncultured bacterium. RNAcentral describes it as "partial 16S ribosomal RNA". It matches the Rfam family "Bacterial small subunit ribosomal RNA", at positions 524 to 773 of the family's 1533-position model. The record is from RNAcentral.